Molecule: long non-coding RNA, 690 nt
Organism: Armigeres subalbatus
Lineage: Eukaryota; Metazoa; Arthropoda; Insecta; Diptera; Culicidae
Exons: 3
Source: RefSeq, a predicted model, not a curated record
ACAAACAUGGUUUCUUUAAAUAAAUUGCCUUCUUAAUUUGAAAAGCGUUUGAUUUUCUUAAAAAUAAAAGUAGAUUUGAUUUAAAUAAAAGUUAUGUUUUAACUUUUAAAGUGUUUUCAGUUUAUUCAGAGUGUAAAUACAAAAGUUUUUAUUUUCAAUACAAACAUUGUUAAACUGUCAAACCAUCCACCACUUUCUUGUUUGUUUUGCCCUGAGAUGUUUUGCCUUUGUAAUUUUUUGCCGCAAUCAUCUGCUGAGUGCUGACGGGUCGAGAAAAUAAAAAAAAAACGUGCCAACCUCCUUGUGAUACAUAAAUAUCUAAAUUAAAACUUUUCAAAUGGAAUUUACUCGCUGGCGCUUUCCUCGAUUUCUAAUACAGAACCUAUACGAUCCUCCAUCAAUGGAUGCAAAAAACGCCCCUCUGGGUACGCAUCUCAAAGCUGGAUGGUUCCGCAGGAGAUAAUUCAUUUUCGGGCUGGCACGGUUCCCCUACAUUUAUCCACAGUCCAUCGCAUGGAAUCGAAAGAUAACCUGGGGCCUGUAGCAUAAUCGAAAUUUUACUAAUAAUAUUAGUAGAGUAGCUUGUAACUUGUAUUUUUCUGUUGCAUAAUGAAUCUACAAGUAUGAAUUUACAAGACUAAUAUUACAAGUAAACCGCACUAAUAAUAUUAGUGGAAUUUACAAGUAACU